RNAcentral lists this ribosomal RNA (577 nucleotides) under uncultured bacterium. Its description in RNAcentral is "bacterial SSU rRNA". It matches the Rfam family "Bacterial small subunit ribosomal RNA", at positions 338 to 917 of the family's 1533-position model. The record is from RNAcentral.
CCUACGGGAGGCAGCAGUGAGGAAUAUUGGACAAUGGGCGCAAGCCUGAUCCAGCCAUGCCGCGUGCAGGAUGACGGUCCUAUGGAUUGUAAACUGCUUUUAUACGAGAAGAAACACCCCUACGUGUAGGGACUUGACGGUAUCGUAAGAAUAAGGAUCGGCUAACUCCGUGCCAGCAGCCGCGGUAAUACGGAGGAUCCAAGCGUUAUCCGGAAUCAUUGGGUUUAAAGGGUCCGUAGGCGGUUUAGUAAGUCAGUGGUGAAAUCUCCCCGCUCAACGGGGAAACGGCCAUUGAUACUGCUAGACUUGAAUUAUUAGGAAGUAACUAGAAUAUGUAGUGUAGCGGUGAAAUGCUUAGAGAUUACAUGGAAUACCAAUUGCGAAGGCAGGUUACUACUAAUGGAUUGACGCUGAUGGACGAAAGCGUGGGUAGCGAACAGGAUUAGAUACCCUGGUAGUCCACGCCGUAAACGAUGGAUACUAGCUGUUGGGUGCAAACUCAGUGGCUAAGCGAAAGUGAUAAGUAUCCCACCUGGGGAGUACGUUCGCAAGAAUGAAACUCAAAUGAAUUGACCGG